Molecule: ribosomal RNA, 533 nt
Filed under: uncultured Actinomycetes bacterium
Lineage: Bacteria; Bacillati; Actinomycetota; Actinomycetes
Description: bacterial SSU rRNA
Rfam family: Bacterial small subunit ribosomal RNA
Source: RNAcentral
UAGGGCGAAAGCCUGACGCAGCGACGCCGCGUACGGGAAGAAGGCCUUCGGGUUGUAAACCGUUUUCAGGAGGGACGAAGCCACUCGGGUUAAUAGCCCAGAGGGUGACGGUACCUCCAGAAGAAGCCCCGGCUAACUACGUGCCAGCAGCCGCGGUAAUACGUAGGGGGCAAGCGUUGUCCGGAUUUAUUGGGCGUAAAGAGCGUGUAGGCGGCCAAACAGGUCCGACGUGAAAUUCCGAGGCUCAACCUCGGCAGGUCGUUGGAAACCGUAUGGCUAGAGUCCGGAAGAGGAGAGUGGAAUUCCUGGUGUAGCGGUGAAAUGCGCAGAUAUCAGGAAGAACACCGAUGGCGAAGGCAGCUCUCUGGGACGGUACUGACGCUGAGACGCGAAAGCGUGGGGAGCGAACAGGAUUAGAUACCCUGGUAGUCCACGCCGUAAACGAUGGGUGCUAGGUGUGGGCGGUGUCGACUCCGUCCGUGCCGAAGCUAACGCAUUAAGCACCCCGCCUGGGGAGUACGGCCGCAAGGCUA